Molecule: ribosomal RNA, 301 nt
Filed under: uncultured bacterium
Lineage: Bacteria
Description: partial 16S ribosomal RNA
Rfam family: Bacterial small subunit ribosomal RNA
Source: RNAcentral
CAGCCGCCACGGGAAUACGAAGGGUGCAAGCGUUACUCGGAAUUACUGGGCGUAAAGCGUGCGUAGGUGGUGGUUUAAGUCCGUUGUGAAAGCCCUGGGCUCAACCUGGGAAUUGCAGUGGAUACUGGGUCACUAGAGUGUGGUAGAGGAUAGUGGAAUUUCCGGUGUAGCAGUGAAAUGCGUAGAGAUCAGAAGGAACAUCUGUGGUGAAGGCGACUAUCUGGGCCAACACUGACACUGAGGCACGAAAGCGUGGGGAGCAAACAGGAUUAGAUACCCGCGUAGUCCCUGUCUUUAUACA